RNAcentral lists this ribosomal RNA (601 nucleotides) under uncultured bacterium. Its description in RNAcentral is "bacterial SSU rRNA". It matches the Rfam family "Bacterial small subunit ribosomal RNA", at positions 725 to 1330 of the family's 1533-position model. The record is from RNAcentral.
CCUGCUGGGCUUUAACUGACGCUGAGGCACGAAAGCAUGGGUAGCAAACAGGAUUAGAUACCCUGGUAGUCCAUGCCGUAAACGAUGAUUACUAGGUGUGGGGGGACUGACCCCCUCCGUGCCGCAGUUAACACAAUAAGUAAUCCACCUGGGGAGUACGGCCGCAAGGUUGAAACUCAAAGGAAUUGACGGGGGCCCGCACAAGCAGUGGAGUAUGUGGUUUAAUUCGAAGCAACGCGAAGAACCUUACCAGGUCUUGACAUCCUAAGAAUCCGACAGAGAUGUUGGAGUGCCUUUCGGGGAACUUAGAGACAGGUGGUGCAUGGUUGUCGUCAGCUCGUGUCGUGAGAUGUUGGGUUAAGUCCCGCAACGAGCGCAACCCUUGCUGUUAGUUGCUACGCAAGAGCACUCUAACAGGACUGCCGUUGACAAAACGGAGGAAGGUGGGGACGACGUCAAAUCAUCAUGCCCUUUAUGACCUGGGCUACACACGUACUACAAUGGCCGUCAACAGAGGGAAGCAAAGCCGUGAGGCAGAGCAAACCCCUAAAAACGGUCCCAGUUCAGAUUGCAGGCUGCAACUCGCCUGCAUGAAGGUGGA